GGAAGCCGGUGAGAUUCCGGCGCGGCCGCGCCACUGUGACCGCCUGUGGGGAUUUCCCUCAAGGGCGGAAGCCAGAC
This 77-nucleotide non-coding RNA is filed under the name Frankia sp. The record is from RNAcentral. Lineage: Bacteria; Bacillati; Actinomycetota; Actinomycetes; Frankiales; Frankiaceae.